This 497-nucleotide ribosomal RNA is filed under the name uncultured bacterium. RNAcentral describes it as "partial 16S ribosomal RNA". It matches the Rfam family "Bacterial small subunit ribosomal RNA", at positions 28 to 507 of the family's 1533-position model. The record is from RNAcentral.
GAUGAACGCUGGCGGCGUGCCUAAUACAUGCAAGUCGAGCGAACAGACGAGGAGCUUGCUCCUCUGACGUUAGCGGCGGACGGGUGAGUAACACGUGGAUAACCUACCUAUAAGACUGGGAUAACUUCGGGAAACCGGAGCUAAUACCGGAUAAUAUAUUGAACCGCAUGGUUCAAUAGUGAAAGACGGUGUUGCUGUCACUUAUAGAUGGAUCCGCGCCGCAUUAGCUAGUUGGUAAGGUAACGGCUUACCAAGGCAACGAUGCGUAGCCGACCUGAGAGGGUGAUCGGCCACACUGGAACUGAGACACGGUCCAGACUCCUACGGGAGGCAGCAGUAGGGAAUCUUCCGCAAUGGGCGAAAGCUUGACGGAGCAACGCCGCGUGAGUGAUGAAGGUCUUCGGAUCGUAAAACUCUGUUAUUAGGUAAGAACAAAUGUGUAAGUAACUAUGCACGUCUUGACGGUACCUAAUCAGAAAGCCACGGCUAACUACGUG